UAAGGAAUAUUGGACAAUGGGGGCAACCCUGAUCCAGCCAUGCCGCGUGAAGGAUGACGGCCCUCUGGGUUGUAAACUUCUUUUGUACGGGAAUAAACCCCUCUACGUGUAGAGGGUUGAAUGUACCGUAAGAAUAAGGAUCGGCUAACUUCGUGCCAGCAGCCGCGGUAAUACGAAGGAUCCAAGCGUUAUCCGGAUUUAUUGGGUUUAAAGGGUGCGUAGGCGGGCUAUUAAGUCAGUGGUGAAAGCCCCAAGCUUAACUUGGGAAUUGCCAUUGAUACUGAUGGUCUUGAGUACACUUGAGGUGGGCGGAAUGUGUCAUGUAGCGGUGAAAUGCUUAGAUAUGACACAGAACACCGAUUGCGAAGGCAGCUCACUAAAUUGUAACUGACGCUGAGGCACGAAAGCGUGGGGAUCAAACAG
RNAcentral lists this ribosomal RNA (423 nucleotides) under uncultured bacterium. Its description in RNAcentral is "bacterial SSU rRNA". It matches the Rfam family "Bacterial small subunit ribosomal RNA", at positions 355 to 775 of the family's 1533-position model. The record is from RNAcentral.